Pseudophryne corroboree (corroboree frog) is the source of this 241-nucleotide long non-coding RNA. RefSeq lists it as uncharacterized. NCBI's taxonomy places the organism in Eukaryota, Metazoa, Chordata, Amphibia, Anura, Myobatrachidae. The transcript has 3 exons. The record is from RefSeq and is a predicted model, not a curated record.
GCCAUGGCACCAGUGACUAGUCAACAGCAUAGCAUCAAUGGCCAGGCGGAUGCAUGUCUAUGCCAACAAGGAACACACACAUGCAGCAGUAGGGUGCCGAUGUAUACAGUUUAAUGGAUUCAUUCAUGUUUGUACAAUAGAGACAGCAAAAAACAUCUGCAUAGGUACUGAUGUAUACAGUUUAAUGGAUUCAUUCAUGUUUGUACAAUAGAGACAGCAAAAAAACAUCUGCAAAGUAAGC